GCACCCAUAGCUCAGCUGGAUAGAGCAACUGCCUUCUAAGCAGUAGGUCCCCCGUUCGAAUCGGGGUGGGUGCG
RNAcentral lists this transfer RNA (74 nucleotides) under Planctomycetota bacterium. Its description in RNAcentral is "Planctomycetes bacterium (soil metagenome) tRNA-Arg". It matches the Rfam family "tRNA". From Rfam's summary of the family: Transfer RNA (tRNA) molecules are approximately 80 nucleotides in length. Their secondary structure includes four short double-helical elements and three loops (D, anti-codon, and T loops). Lineage: Bacteria; Pseudomonadati; Planctomycetota. The record is from RNAcentral.